Molecule: ribosomal RNA, 391 nt
Filed under: Syndiniales sp.
Lineage: Eukaryota; Dinophyceae; Syndiniales
Description: partial small subunit ribosomal RNA
Rfam family: Eukaryotic small subunit ribosomal RNA
Source: RNAcentral
AUUCCAGCUCCAAUAGCGUAUAUUAAAGUUGUUGCGGUUAAAAAGCUCGUAGUUGGAUUUCUGUCAAAGGUAAGGCGGUCCAUCUUAUGGAUGUGCAUCUGCCUAUGCCUUGGCAUCCUCAUGAAGAACGUUUUCGCGCUUCACUGCGUGUUUACGGUAUUCAUGACUUUUACUUUGGGGAAAUUAGAGUGCUCACGGCAGGCAAUCGCUUUGGAUACAUUAGCAUGGAAUAAUACUAUAGGACCUCGGUUCUAUUUUGUUGGUUUCUAGAGCUGAGGUAAUGAUUAAUAGGGAUAAUUGGGGGUCUUUGUAUCGCAACGUCAGAGGUGAAAUUCUUGGAUUGUUGCACGACAAACUACUGCGAAAGCAUUGACCAAGGAUGUUUUCAUCA